GAUUUCUAACCUAACGCUGAGCACAUCUGUGUUUACACAAUGUGUAGAUAUCAACACCUCAAAAGAUAAAAGCUGAUUUUUGGAUUGGAAAUUUGUAACCUUUUGAGUGACCUAUACAGGCUUGGCCACCUUCUUUCAGUUCAAUGUGAUGGAGCUAAAUUUUUCCCUAUCCAUGUGUCGGAUUAAUUAUUAAUUAUAUAAAGGCCAAUUAUGUUUUAAAGCAUCAUACUCUGUAGCACAUACAUUAUAUUUUCAUGCAGUACUACUAUGAGCCUGGGACUGGACAAAAGUUCAGAUCAUUGAGAGAUGUCGAGCGACGAUUGAACGGUGAAAUUUUUGCUCCUAGAAACAGGGCAUCGGGAGUGAGAAACUAUCCUAAGGCAAGUUAAAGAAUUGAAUAUUUCACAAAGAUUUAGUAAUAUCGCUAGUUUGAUGAUGCCUGAGUAUGAAACUCCUCUUCUUUUUUUUUUACUUGGUGUAUUUAUCUGUUCUGGUCAUACACGGAGUAUUCGUCUUUCACAGAGUUCUCUGUCUCGGAAGAUGGUCAUCUGCAAUGGGAAGAUCGUUAGAAUGGAUGAAGAGCAGUUGAAUGAAUGGGCAAUUGUGCCGUCAACAAGAGCAGCCACCUUACCCUAUGACCUUCCUGAUGGUUGGGUGAUAGAAGAGGUACCACGUACAGACGGAAGCAGCAUGGUGGAUAAGUAUUACUAUGAACCAG
RNAcentral lists this unclassified non-coding RNA (718 nucleotides) under Hevea brasiliensis (rubber tree). The record is from RNAcentral. Lineage: Eukaryota; Viridiplantae; Streptophyta; Magnoliopsida; Malpighiales; Euphorbiaceae.